GCUAAUGUAGCUCAGUUGGUAGAGCAACUGAUUCGUAAUCAGUAGGUCGCCAGUUCAACUCUGGCCAUUAGCU
This 73-nucleotide transfer RNA is filed under the name Ignavibacteria bacterium. Its description in RNAcentral is "tRNA-Thr". It matches the Rfam family "tRNA". From Rfam's summary of the family: Transfer RNA (tRNA) molecules are approximately 80 nucleotides in length. Their secondary structure includes four short double-helical elements and three loops (D, anti-codon, and T loops). Further hydrogen bonds mediate the characteristic L-shaped molecular structure. tRNAs have two regions of fundamental functional importance: the anti-codon, which is responsible for specific mRNA codon recognition, and the 3' end, to which the tRNAs corresponding amino acid is attached (by aminoacyl-tRNA synthetases). tRNAs cope with the degeneracy of the genetic code in two manners: having more than one tRNA (with a specific anti-codon) for a particular amino acid; and 'wobble' base-pairing, i.e. permitting non-standard base-pairing at the 3rd anti-codon position. The record is from RNAcentral. Lineage: Bacteria; Pseudomonadati; Ignavibacteriota; Ignavibacteria.